Molecule: ribosomal RNA, 486 nt
Filed under: uncultured bacterium
Lineage: Bacteria
Description: partial 16S ribosomal RNA
Rfam family: Bacterial small subunit ribosomal RNA
Source: RNAcentral
AUUGAACGCUGGCGGCAUGCCUUACACAUGCAAGUCGAACGGCAGCACGGGUGCUUGCACCUGGUGGCGAGUGGCGAACGGGUGAGUAAUACAUCGGAACAUGUCCUGUAGUGGGGGAUAGCCCGGCGAAAGCCGGAUUAAUACCGCAUACGAUCCACGGAUGAAGGCGGGGGACCUUCGGGCCUCGCGCUAUAGGGUUGGCCGAUGGCUGAUUAGCUAGUUGGUGGGGUAAAGGCCUACCAAGGCGACGAUCAGUAGCUGGUCUGAGAGGACGACCAGCCACACUGGGACUGAGACACGGCCCAGACUCCUACGGGAGGCAGCAGUGGGGAAUUUUGGACAAUGGGCGAAAGCCUGAUCCAGCAAUGCCGCGUGUGUGAAGAAGGCCUUCGGGUUGUAAAGCACUUUUGUCCGGAAAGAAAUCCUUGACUCUAAUACAGUCGGGGGAUGACGGUACCGGAAGAAUAAGCACCGGCUAACUACGUG